This is a long non-coding RNA of Lepisosteus oculatus (spotted gar), 756 nucleotides long. NCBI's taxonomy places the organism in Eukaryota, Metazoa, Chordata, Actinopteri, Semionotiformes, Lepisosteidae. The record is from Ensembl.
GAGGACAAUGGUGGGAGAUAUUUUAAAAGUCUGUUUGAAUUGGUCUCUGCAUUUGCUUUCACAGAUUAGUGACCAGGGUGGGGACUUGGAGCACAUGUGUGCAUCGACACUGGAUUUUACAAUUGAUCUACAACACACAGCUCUGGUGUCUUCUGACAGAUCAUUGAUGAGGUGGAAAUUGCUCUUAAUAGCAUGAUCUAGAUGGGACGUGUGUGUGGGAUUGUUUUGCGGAGCGGUAUGGCUGUAGCUCCUGCCCUGGCUGUCACAGCGAGGUUGAAUUCGCCCGCCGCUCACUGGUGUCCGGAGUGGGGAUGGAAGAGAGCUGCCAAGUAACAGCACAGUCCUCGGUUCCCGCUCUCCGGAUCUCCCCAGCUCCACGUAGAUGCGUCUCGAACCCGGGUCUUUCACUGCGUGCUGCCUUCUCACCCGACGUGGGGUCUCUGUGACUGAAGCGCUCCCGGCGCUGAAGAGGCUGGGUGUUUGAGCGGAAUCAAUCCUGAAUCUGAAGCUGCUAGAGAGGCUCCUUUUCCACUCUUCGAAGGAGGGAGCGGAGAGGGACAGUUAAUCUGACUCUGGCAUCUUCAGGAAACCUUUAAUGUGCAAGACUUAGUUCUUCAUCGCUUAAUUAGUUUUAUAAGUUGAAGGAUGUGUUUGAAAUUACUAAUCACUUACAUGUUUUGAAUAAAUAGGUUGACACAAGCCCUUUAGAUUCAAUGCUGCUAUUUCAAAUAAAGGUUUGUAAUGCGUUUUCUUUUG